RNAcentral lists this ribosomal RNA (760 nucleotides) under Fallicambarus sp. n. 1 JWB-2013. Its description in RNAcentral is "partial 28S ribosomal RNA". The stretch from base 285 to 760 matches the Rfam family "Eukaryotic large subunit ribosomal RNA", at positions 665 to 926 of the family's 3401-position model. Lineage: Eukaryota; Metazoa; Arthropoda; Malacostraca; Decapoda; Cambaridae. The record is from RNAcentral.
AGGAAUGCUUGGGCGUGCCUCCACCCACGCCGGCGUCGGCGGGCGUAUUUCGCCUCACAGUAGGUCGCCGCGACCCGUUGCUUUUGGGGACGUCGAAGGCCCGGACGGAUUGGUACCCUACCGGCUGGGGAUGCGGCUUCGGCUUCUCCUCUUGUCCGGUGGGCGAAACCGCCGGUGUCCUGGCUGCCCUGCGACGGUCGUAGAGACGAGCCCUCCCCUUCGGGGGGGCGGCUCUCGCGGCGUGCAAAAGGUCGGUGAUCCACCCGACCCGUCUUGAAACACGGACCAAGGAGUCUAACAUGUGUGCGAGUCAGUGGGCGCACUAAACCCAGAGGCGUAAUGAAAGUGACACGGGUUCGGCUGUCGCCUCGUGUGGCAGCCGGACUCAGGGCCGAUCCCUCACCGGUUGCCCUCGCCUCUCUCCCGCGUCUCGGUAAGCCGGGUGAGCUAUUUUCCCCGGCCGCUGCUGCGGGGCUCGGGGGGAGGCGGGGUGCGAUGGUGUCUGUAAAAAAGAGCCUGCUGUUGCAGGGGGGCGCAGGCCCGGGACUUGCCAGGACGCCGCGAGACUGUCACUUUGCUGUGAGGCUCUCGGGCCGAUCAGCGGGUCAUGCGUGCAGUCGGCAAGUACCAUGAGCAGACAUGUUGGGACCCGAAAGAUGGUGAACUAUGCCUGGCCAGGAUGAAGCCAGAGGAAACUCUGGUGGAGGUCCGUAGCGAUUCUGACGUGCAAAUCGAUCGUCGGAGCUGGGUAUAGGGGCGA